Molecule: long non-coding RNA, 590 nt
Organism: Olea europaea var. sylvestris
Lineage: Eukaryota; Viridiplantae; Streptophyta; Magnoliopsida; Lamiales; Oleaceae
Exons: 2
Source: RefSeq, a predicted model, not a curated record
UUUCAACCUAAUAUUUGUUGGACCAUGCUACAGUUACAAACUUUUUUUUACAUAAUCCUUUACUCACUACUCACAGUGGGAGGUGGGGACCAUGAGCCGACAUUUUUUAAAUUCACGUGGGGGCUGCUUGUUUGUGAGAAUAUGAUAGAGCAAGGGGGGUCGAAAUAGGAAAUAAAGAUAUAAAGCUUGAAUACUUGGAAGAGGCAUUUACCACGUCUAACUGGAUAGUCAGAAUUUACAAAGUCAAACCACCCAAGAAUAGGUGGUGAUUUGACACCUUUCUUCCAAUCUCUUACCCUGCCAGGACACCGGACGUGAGAAGUGCCGAUCUUGGAUAAAUUACUUAGAAGACUACUUAUUUUUCUUGAUUUUUUCCUCUCUCUCUCCUAUCUCUCGCUCUCUCUCUUUCUCUCUCUUUUUUUUUUUUUUUGGGGGUAACAUUUAGGCCUUCAAUUUUCCAUAAUCAUCCUUUUUGCAGAUCUUAUUGUGUCACUGACUAAUAUAAUCAAAAUUACUAAAUUUCUGUUUGAAGUGUUGUGCGGAUUCUUGUUUGCUAAAUUAAUAGCAUUGAGUCAUACAAAUUGUUGGGC